Molecule: ribosomal RNA, 459 nt
Filed under: uncultured bacterium
Lineage: Bacteria
Description: partial 16S ribosomal RNA
Rfam family: Bacterial small subunit ribosomal RNA
Source: RNAcentral
CCUACGGGAGGCUGCAGUGAGGAAUAUUGGUCAAUGGACGAGAGUCUGAACCAGCCAAGUAGCGUGAAGGAUGACUGCCCUAUGGGUUGUAAACUUCUUUUAUAAAGGAAUAAAACGAGGCACGUGUGCCUUUUUGCAUGUACUUUAUGAAUAAGGAUCGGCUAACUCCGUGCCAGCAGCCGCGGUAAUACGUAGGGAGCGAGCGUUGUCCGGAAUUACUGGGUGUAAAGGGAGCGUAGGCGGGGAUGCAAGUUGGGUGUCAAAACUACCGGCUCAACUGGUAGUCGCACUCAAAACUGCAGCUCUUGAGUGAAGUAGAGGCAGGCGGAAUUCCUAGUGUAGCGGUGAAAUGCGUAGAUAUUAGGAGGAACACCAGUGGCGAAGGCGGCCUGCUGGGCUUUUACUGACGCUGAGGCUCGAAAGUGUGGGGAGCAAACAGGAUUAGAUACCCCAGUAGUC